Non-coding RNA from Colletotrichum gloeosporioides, 100 nucleotides. Lineage: Eukaryota; Fungi; Ascomycota; Sordariomycetes; Glomerellales; Glomerellaceae. The record is from Rfam.
GCCUUCGGGCAUUUGGUCAAUUUGAAACGAUACAGAGAAGAUUAGCAUGGCCCCUGCACUAAGGAUGACACGCUCAAUCAAAGAGAAGCUACCAAUUUUU